UACGUGGGGUGCGAGCGUUAAUCGGAAUUACUGGGCGUAAAGCGUGCGCAGGCGGUUCUGCAAGUCAGAUGUGAAAUCCCCGGGCUUAACCUGGGAACUGCGUUUGAAACUACGGAGCUAGAGUGCGGCAGAGGGGGGUGGAAUUCCACGUGUAGCAGUGAAAUGCGUAGAUAUGUGGAGGAACACCGAUGGCGAAGGCAGCCCCCUGGGCCGACACUGACGCUCAGGCACGAAAGCGUGGGGAGCAAACAGG
RNAcentral lists this ribosomal RNA (253 nucleotides) under uncultured bacterium. Its description in RNAcentral is "partial 16S ribosomal RNA". It matches the Rfam family "Bacterial small subunit ribosomal RNA", at positions 524 to 776 of the family's 1533-position model. The record is from RNAcentral.